Molecule: small RNA, 183 nt
Filed under: Rhizobium phaseoli
Lineage: Bacteria; Pseudomonadati; Pseudomonadota; Alphaproteobacteria; Hyphomicrobiales; Rhizobiaceae
Description: miscellaneous other RNA
Rfam family: RcsR1 sRNA (bases 38-136)
About the family: RcsR1 (rhizobial cold and salinity stress riboregulator 1) trans-acting sRNA, formerly known as SmelC587, is a stress-related riboregulator, conserved in Sinorhizobium, Rhizobium and Agrobacterium. In S. meliloti RcsR1 less conserved central region is responsible for the species-specific interaction with the 5'UTR of autoinducer synthase encoding mRNA sinI. The interaction negatively influences sinI translation..
Source: RNAcentral
UCUCAGGCUAACUAUUUUUCCAUGAUCAAGUCCUUGAACAUUGCUGUUUGGUGGUGGGCUCGCUGAGGCGGCCUCGACCAAUCGUGUCCAAAGACGACGACGAGUGAGCCGCCCGAAACUUCGAGGCGGCUUUUUUGUUUUAUCGCCGCCUGUCGUCCGGGCACCGAUAACGGAGUGGAACUA